Molecule: ribosomal RNA, 253 nt
Filed under: uncultured bacterium
Lineage: Bacteria
Description: partial 16S ribosomal RNA
Rfam family: Bacterial small subunit ribosomal RNA
Source: RNAcentral
UACGGAGGGUGCAAGCGUUGUCCGGAAUCACUGGGCGUAAAGGGCGCGUAGGCGGCUCAUGAAGGCUGUGGUGAAAGUCCGGGGCUCAACCUCGGAUCGGCCGUGGCGACUCGUGGGCUGGAGCACUGUAGAGGCGGGUGGAAUUCCGGGUGUAGCGGUGGAAUGCGUAGAGAUCCGGAAGAACACCAGUGGCGAAGGCGGCCCGCUGGGCAGUUGCUGACACUGAGGCGCGACAGCGUGGGGAGCAAACAGG